Molecule: ribosomal RNA, 254 nt
Filed under: uncultured bacterium
Lineage: Bacteria
Description: partial 16S ribosomal RNA
Rfam family: Bacterial small subunit ribosomal RNA
Source: RNAcentral
UACGUAGGGGACGAGCGUUGUCCGGAGUUACUGGGCGUAAAGGGCCCGCAGGCGGUCUGCCGCGUUCGCGCUGACAGCUCCUGGCUUAACUGGGAGAGGAGUGAGAAGACGGGCAGACUCAGAGGACCAGAGAGGGACAUGGAACUCCGGGUGUAGUGGUGAAAUGCGUAGAUAUCCGGAAGAACACCAAAGGCGAAGGCAGUGUCCUGGCUGGUACCUGACGCUCGGGGGCGAAAGCUAGGGGAGCGAACGGG